AUGUCAUGCGAAGAAAUGCUUCUUGAGCAGGUCUUUGUUUUUAUGCAGCUGCUGGAAACACAGAUGAAGCUGUGGGGUAUAAGAAACAGUUCAGAGCCGAGACACGUUAGCACAGCCAGGACCGUGUCGGUGCUCCCAGCUGCAGGAGGUGUGCUCAGCAGACGGACGGAGCGAGGGCAGGCAGGGAUCCGCAGCAGCGCCUGUGCCGGGGUAAGAAAGCAGACGUGUGGGGGCUCUCCAGGACUGCUGUGCGCAAAGGGAACUGAGCAGGAAAGUCACUCUAAGGACUAGUGCUUAAAUGUGCACUGAAAUAUUAAUGCAACCUCAUUUUCAGAUGGCAGGGCUCUCUUGAAUGAAGCCAUAUGUUGUACUCGCGGGGGACGAGAGGCGGCUUGGUCUCGGCUUGGAGAAACAUGGAAGUGUUGAGAAGAUAGACCUGAGUCAAGUUCAGGGUUUCAGCAGUUUUCAGCUCUACUCUCCUUUCUCCUUCAGAUUUUAGAAGACAAGACAUGCUGCAAGAGCAAACAGGAUUGUUUUUUUUUUUUGCAUCAUAUCAUUUACCAAGCAGUUAAACCCCCACAGAUUUUUAGGCUGCUGCCGUACUUUUUUCCGCACUUCAAAGGAUUAAAAUUGAACACGUUCCAAGUGAAAAGUAACAGCCCAAACUGACAAAUCAAACUAGAUGUAACCCUGUGUUUCAUUAUUAAAGCUUGAUGUGUUCAGGCUCAGUCUCCCUGGCACAGGGAGGCUCGUCCUGCCUCCCUGUCCGAGGAGGAGCUCGGACGUCUCUCCGUACCCACAGCCGUGGGCUCGUGGCAAGUCUCCUGCAACACCUACCAGCUCAAGCCUUGUUUGGGCCGUUCCUCGUCUCUUUCAUGAUGAGGCACUGGACAAGCAAGUGUUACGUCCAUCAGUGAGAGGGCAUUACCUGUAGGAGAAGGCUGACAUCUCUCCUGGUUUUAGAGGCAUCUGUGGUGCCUCCUGCAGGGGCGGCCUCCAGGCUGGCUGUGGCAUGGCGUUAGAGGUGACACAGCUGUAACCUCCGGCAGCUGCCAGCCCUUCUUGGCCAAAUAAAGUGACUGUUUAAGCCUACCUCUGUCA
Molecule: long non-coding RNA, 1101 nt
Filed under: Anser brachyrhynchus (Pink-footed goose)
Lineage: Eukaryota; Metazoa; Chordata; Aves; Anseriformes; Anatidae
Description: lncRNA (ENSABRG00000005109.1)
Source: RNAcentral